Molecule: ribosomal RNA, 492 nt
Filed under: uncultured bacterium
Lineage: Bacteria
Description: partial 16S ribosomal RNA
Rfam family: Bacterial small subunit ribosomal RNA
Source: RNAcentral
AGUGAACGCUGGCGGUAGGCCUAACACAUGCAAGUCGAACGGCAACACAGUAAGAGCUUGCUCUUACGGGUGGCGAGUGGCGGACGAGUGAGGAAUACAUCGGAAGCUACUUUUUCGUGGGGGAGAACGUAGGGAAACUUACGCUAAUACCGCAUACGACCUACGGGUGAAAGCAGGGGAUCUUCGGACCUUGCGCGAUUGAAUGAGCCGAUGUCGGAUUAGCUAGUUGGCGGGGUAAAGGCACACCAAGGCGACGAUCCGGAGCUGGUCUGAGAGGAUGAGCGGCGACAGUGGAACUGAGACAGGGUCCAGACUCCUACGGGAGGCAGCAGUGGGGAAUAUUGGACAAGGGGCGCAAGCGUGAUCCAGCCAUACCGCGUGGGUGAAGAAGGCGUUCGGGUUGUAAAGGCCUUUUGUUGGGAAAGAAAAGCAGCAGGUCAAUACCCCGCUGUUGUGACGGUAGCGAAAGAAUAAGCACCGGCUAACUUCGUG